CGGACGAACGCUGGCGGCGUGGAUUAGGCAUGCAAGUCGAACGGUAUCAUCCUUUCGGGGGUGAGAGAGUGGCGAACUGGUGAGUAACACGUAGGUUAUCUACCCUCAAGACGGGACAACCCAGGGAAACUUGGGCUAAUACCGGAUGUGAGCAACUUUUAGUUGUUUGAAAGGUGGCGUAAGCUGUCGCUUGGGGAUGAGCCUGCGUCCUAUUAGUUAGUUGGUGAGGUAACGGCUCACCUAGGCAAUGAUAGGUAGGCGGCCUUAACGGGUGGUCGCCCACACUGGGAUUGAGAUACGGCCCAGACUCCUACGGGAGGCAGCAGUCGAGAAUAGUCUACAAUGGUCGGAAGACUGAUAGUGCGACGCCGCGUGAACGAUGAAUCCCUUCGGGGUGUAAAGUUCUUUUAUAUGUGAGCAGUGCUUCUUAUAUUAACAGUAUGGGGAGAGAGAUAUUAGCAUAUGAAUAAGCAACGGCUAACUCCGUG
Molecule: ribosomal RNA, 488 nt
Filed under: uncultured bacterium
Lineage: Bacteria
Description: bacterial SSU rRNA
Rfam family: Bacterial small subunit ribosomal RNA
Source: RNAcentral